CACGUAGGAGGCAAACGUUAUCCGGAUUUACUGGGCGUAAAGCGCGUGUAGGUGGUUCUGUAAGUAGGGCGUGAAAGCUCCCGGCUCAACUGGGAGAUGCCGUUCUAAACUGCAGAGCUAGAGGAUGGUAGAGGGAGGUGGAAUUCCAGGUGUAGCGGUGGAAUGCGCAGAUAUCUGGAGGAACACCAGUGGCGAAGGCGGCCUCCUGGACCAUUCCUGACACUCAGACGCGAAAGCUAGGUAGCAAACAGGAUUAGAUACCCGCGUA
RNAcentral lists this ribosomal RNA (268 nucleotides) under uncultured prokaryote. Its description in RNAcentral is "partial 16S ribosomal RNA". It matches the Rfam family "Bacterial small subunit ribosomal RNA", at positions 524 to 792 of the family's 1533-position model. The record is from RNAcentral.